AUGGGUUAGGUAAAUGUUUCAUGAUAAGAAUUUCAUGUCUUUUGUAUUAAAGAAUUAAAUGGAUGAAAUAUGAAGUUUUAUUAAAAGAAAAAGGGGUGAAAAGAACAAAGUUUUGUCCAUCUUUGUUCAUCAUAGCUGAAAGUUAGAGAAGAGAAAGGAGAGGAGAAAGCUCUUGAGUAUUCGGUCAUUAGGAGGAGGAAAAUUGAAGGUGGUUCGUGUGUGGAUCUUGUCAGCAUAUCUUCGCAAACAGGAAAUCCCCAACCAUAGUGGGCUUGGAGCUGUGAGGGAAUUCGGAGUGGCCACCCGUUCUGAAAGUUUGGUUUUCUUCUGGUGAACUGGACAUCCUUUUAUUUACGUUUGAAGUUUUGGGUUUUUAAAUGUAAUAAGGCCGCUUAAUUAUUUUUGAUGGUUUUAAUAUAUAUUACUAAGAUAGGUAUUACUUA
Gossypium arboreum is the source of this 443-nucleotide long non-coding RNA. RefSeq lists it as uncharacterized. The record is from RefSeq and is a predicted model, not a curated record. NCBI's taxonomy places the organism in Eukaryota, Viridiplantae, Streptophyta, Magnoliopsida, Malvales, Malvaceae. The transcript has 3 exons.